RNAcentral lists this ribosomal RNA (253 nucleotides) under uncultured bacterium. RNAcentral's name for it is "partial 16S ribosomal RNA". It matches the Rfam family "Bacterial small subunit ribosomal RNA", at positions 524 to 776 of the family's 1533-position model. The record is from RNAcentral.
UACAGAGGUCUCAAGCGUUGUUCGGAUUCAUUGGGCGUAAAGGGUGCGUAGGCGGCGCGGUAAGUCGGGUGUGAAAUCUCGGGGCUUAACUCCGAAACUGCAUUCGAUACUGCCGUGCUUGAGGACUGGAGAGGAGACUGGAAUUUACGGUGUGGCGGUGAAAUGCGUAGAUAUCGUAAGGAAGACCAGUGGCGAAGGCGGGUCUCUGGACAGUUCCUGACGCUGAGGCACGAAGGUCAGGGGAGCAAACGGG